This is a non-coding RNA of Macaca mulatta (Rhesus monkey), 524 nucleotides long. The record is from RefSeq and is a predicted model, not a curated record. NCBI's taxonomy places the organism in Eukaryota, Metazoa, Chordata, Mammalia, Primates, Cercopithecidae.
GCCAAAGAGCAAUAGGGAGCAGUGGAGACUGGGGCAAAUUGGAAAGCACAGCCCCCUCUAAAAGAAGAUGUGUUAGAACAGGGGCCCCGCAUGGCAACAUCUCCUGAAAAUGUUUCCAGAGAAGCCAGAUGUCUGGAUUUUUACAAAUGAAACCAUCCAUAUGUGUUUGAAAUUGUUUAACACUGGCAUAUGAAGUUGUUUAACAUUGGCAACUAAAAAGCAAACAUUACGUGAACCCAAGAAAACUGGCUGGAGUGACAGCAACUCACUGGAUCUAGAUCAAAUCUUCCACUUUACAGGUAGGCGUUCUCAGAACAGCAGCCUCAGCAUCACCUGGGAGCUUGUUAGCAAUGCAGAUUCUCAGGCCAAUCUCACACCUUUGAUUCAGAAGAUUUGGAAUGGCAGACUGGCGAUGUGGGAAAGUGCAUCCUGUCUACCCUUAGCUUAUAAGGGGAACAAAUGGAGCUGUAUUAUAAUCACCUGUUUGCUGCUCUCUAAAAAUAGUAGACACCUAAAUGACAUCA